RNAcentral lists this ribosomal RNA (609 nucleotides) under uncultured bacterium. Its description in RNAcentral is "bacterial SSU rRNA". It matches the Rfam family "Bacterial small subunit ribosomal RNA", at positions 331 to 931 of the family's 1533-position model. The record is from RNAcentral.
CCAGACUCCUACGGGAGGCAGCAGUGGGGAAUCUUCCGCAAUGGACGAAAGUCUGACGGAGCAACGCCGCGUGAGUGAUGACGGCCUUCGGGUUGUAAAGCUCUGUUAAUCGGGACGAAAGGCCUUCUUGCGAAUAGUGAGAAGGAUUGACGGUACCGGAAUAGAAAGCCACGGCUAACUACGUGCCAGCAGCCGCGGUAAUACGUAGGUGGCAAGCGUUGUCCGGAAUUAUUGGGCGUAAAGCGCGCGCAGGCGGAUAGGUCAGUCUGUCUUAAAAGUUCGGGGCUUAACCCCGUGAUGGGAUGGAAACUGCCAAUCUAGAGUAUCGGAGAGGAAAGUGGAAUUCCUAGUGUAGCGGUGAAAUGCGUAGAUAUUAGGAAGAACACCAGUGGCGAAGGCGACUUUCUGGACGAAAACUGACGCUGAGGCGCGAAAGCCAGGGGAGCGAACGGGAUUAGAUACCCCGGUAGUCCUGGCUGUAAACGAUGGGUACUAGGUGUAGGAGGUAUCGACCCCUUCUGUGCCGGAGUUAACGCAAUAAGUACCCCGCCUGGGGAGUACGACCGCAAGGUUGAAACUCAAAGGAAUUGACGGGGGCCCGCACAAGAG